UCAGUAACGGCGAGUGAAGCGGCAACAGCUCAAAUUUGAAAGCUGGCCCCCCCGGGGGUCCGCGUUGUAAUUUGUAGAGGAUGAUUCGGCGAGGGCUCCCGCCUAAGUCCCCUGGAACGGGGCGUCAUAGAGGGUGAGAAUCCCGUAUGCGGUGGGCUGCCUUAGCCAUGUGAAUCUCCUUCGACGAGUCGAGUUGUUUGGGAAUGCAGCUCUAAAUGGGAGGUAAAUUUCUUCUAAAGCUAAAUACCGGCCAGAGACCGAUAGCGCACAAGUAGAGUGAUCGAAAGAUGAAAAGCACUUUGGAAAGAGAGUUAAAAAGUACGUGAAAUUGUUGAAAGGGAAGCGCUUGCAGCCAGACUUGUCCGCAGUUGCUCAGCCGGUCUCCUGACCGGCGCACUCUUCUGCGGCCAGGCCAGCAUCAGUUCGGGCGGUCGGAUAAAGGCCCCGGGAACGUAGCUCCUCUCGGGGAGUGUUAUAGCCCGGGGUGGAAUGCGGCCAGCCUGGACUGAGGAUCUCGCUUCGGCUAGGAUGCUGGCGUAAUGGCUGUAAGCGGCCCGUCUUGAAACACGGACCAAGGAGUCUAACAUCUAUGCGAGUGUUUGGGUGUCAAACCCAUGCGCGUAAUGAAAGUGAACGGAGGUGGGAACCCUCGCGGGUGCACCAUCGACCGAUCCUGAUGUCUUCGGAUGGAUUUGAGUAAGAGCAUAGCUGUUGGGACCCGAAAGAUGGUGAACUAUGCCUGAAUAGGGUGAAGCCAGAGGAAACUCUGGUGGAGGCUCGCAGCGGUUCUGACGUGCAAAUCGAUCGUCAAAUUUGGGUAUAGGGGCGAAAGACUAAUCGAACCAUCGACUACUAGGUGGUUAAGAGGUGGCUGAAAGUGCCCACCUAGUCCCCCCGUCCGAGGACGGGGGGGCGACAUCGCCAAAUUGCGGGGACUCCCUUAGAGCCUCUACUACCGCGGCCGGCCGAAAGGCGCGGUGCAGCACCGGGUUAAUUGCCUAGGGUACGGUAAAAAGGUAGAGGAUUGGGAAAUCCGCAGCCAAGCGCCUAAGUCCCGCGGGAUACGGCGAAGGUUCAGAGACUAGAUGGCGGUGGG
This 1096-nucleotide small RNA is filed under the name Neoscytalidium hyalinum. RNAcentral describes it as "eukaryotic LSU rRNA". It matches the Rfam family "Eukaryotic large subunit ribosomal RNA", at positions 80 to 1042 of the family's 3401-position model. The record is from RNAcentral. Lineage: Eukaryota; Fungi; Ascomycota; Dothideomycetes; Botryosphaeriales; Botryosphaeriaceae.